Molecule: long non-coding RNA, 209 nt
Filed under: Pan troglodytes (chimpanzee)
Lineage: Eukaryota; Metazoa; Chordata; Mammalia; Primates; Hominidae
Description: long non-coding RNA NONPTRT006808
Source: RNAcentral
AAGAAACAGCAGAGAGUCUGCAAAGAGGCAGACUAUGGUCAGAGGCCAGCUGAGUGCCCCUGAUUCUAAUGUUAUACCCUCAGCCUUUGCCGAGAACUUAGGCUCCCUGUUCUGGUACCCCACUUCACUUCUCCUGCAGUAUUUAUAUAUCAAUCUUCCUAUCACAAUCUCCUCUACCACUCAAUGGGGACAAGAGUAUAUCUGUUUUA